RNAcentral lists this ribosomal RNA (356 nucleotides) under uncultured bacterium. RNAcentral describes it as "bacterial SSU rRNA". It matches the Rfam family "Bacterial small subunit ribosomal RNA", at positions 536 to 896 of the family's 1533-position model. The record is from RNAcentral.
AAGCGUUAUCCGGAAUCAUUGGGUUUAAAGGGUCCGUAGGCGGUUUUGUAAGUCAGUGGUGAAAGCCCAUCGCUCAACGGUGGAACGGCCAUUGAUACUGCAAGACUUGAAUUACUAGGAAGUAACUAGAAUAUGUAGUGUAGCGGUGAAAUGCUUAGAGAUUACAUGGAAUACCAAUUGCGAAGGCAGGUUACUACUAGUGGAUUGACGCUGAUGGACGAAAGCGUGGGUAGCGAACAGGAUUAGAUACCCUGGUAGUCCACGCCGUAAACGAUGGAUACUAGCUGUUGGGAGCAAUCUCAGUGGCUAAGCGAAAGUGAUAAGUAUCCCACCUGGGGAGUACGGGCGCAAGCCUG